RNAcentral lists this transfer RNA (95 nucleotides) under Colletotrichum incanum. It matches the Rfam family "tRNA". From Rfam's summary of the family: Transfer RNA (tRNA) molecules are approximately 80 nucleotides in length. Their secondary structure includes four short double-helical elements and three loops (D, anti-codon, and T loops). Lineage: Eukaryota; Fungi; Ascomycota; Sordariomycetes; Glomerellales; Glomerellaceae. The record is from Rfam by way of RNAcentral.
GACAACAUGUCCGAGUGGUUAAGGAGCCAGACUUGAAUUGAACUUCUCUAUAUCUGGUGGCUUCGGCCGCGUAGGUUCGAACCCUGCUGUUGUCG